RNAcentral lists this long non-coding RNA (200 nucleotides) under Nicotiana benthamiana. RNAcentral describes it as "long non-coding RNA (NBEN_LNC029259)". Lineage: Eukaryota; Viridiplantae; Streptophyta; Magnoliopsida; Solanales; Solanaceae. The record is from RNAcentral.
AGGAUAAUCGAUUAUCUUGGCUCUCUGGAAUUUCCAAUUUUGCUGAAAAAUGCCAGAUAAUCGAUUAUUCUAAGGGAAUAAUCGAUUAUCCUCUGCCUCUGUUUUGCAAAAUUUUUGAUGAACAAAAUGCAAUAAUCGAUUAUUCUAUGCUACUGUUUUGCAAAAUUUUGGUAAACUUUUCAAGAUAGUCGAUUAUCUGG